RNAcentral lists this ribosomal RNA (1391 nucleotides) under metagenome. RNAcentral's name for it is "bacterial LSU rRNA". It matches the Rfam family "Bacterial large subunit ribosomal RNA", at positions 1510 to 2925 of the family's 2925-position model. The record is from RNAcentral.
GUCCAAGCGGAGUAGAGAGCUGCGUAGUCAAGUACGCGCGGCGAUUCAAAACCGUGAUGGGGAGGGAAAACAAGUACCGAAGCAGAUGAUUUCACACUGGCGAGAAAAGCUGCUAUCGAGCAAAGGGGUACCCGUACCGCAAACCGACACAGGUGGAUGAGGAGAGAAUCCUAAGACGAGCGGGAGAAGUGUUGUUAAGGAACUCGGCAAAUUAACCCCGUAAGUUCGCAAGAGGGGUGCCUCGUGAGAGGCCGCAGAGAAAUGGCCCAAGCAACUGUUUAACAAAAACACAGGUCUCCGCUAAAUCGAAAGAUGAAGUAUGGGGGCUGACGCCUGCCCGGUGCUGGAAGGUCACGGGGAUCUGUUAGCGCAAGCGAAGCAGUGAACUUAAGCCCCAGUAAACGGCGGCCGUAACCAUAACGGUCCUAAGGUAGCGAAAUUCCUUGUCAGGUAAGUUCUGACCCGCACGAAUGGCGUAAUGACUUGGGCACUGUCUCAACAACAUACCCGGUGAAAUUGUAGUACUUGUGAAGAUGCAAGUUACCCGCGACUAGACGGAAAGACCCCAUGGAGCUUCACUGUAGAUUGCUGCUGGGAUUCGAUAUUGUCUGUACAGGAUAGGUGGGAGGCGUAGAACGCAUGGCGUCAGUUGUGCGGGAGCCGACGUUGGGAUACCACUCUGACAGUAUUGGGUCUCUAACUGGUGGCCGUAAUCCGGCCACAGGACAAUGGCAGUCGGGCAGUUUGACUGGGGCGGUCGCCUCCAAAAAAGUAACGGAGGCGUCCAAAGGUCACCUCAGUACGGUUGGAAAUCGUGCAGCGAGUGCAAAGGCAUAAGGUGGCCUGACUGCGAGACAAACACGUCGAGCAGGGACGAAAGUCGGGCUUAGUGAUCCGGCGGUAGAAAGUGGAAUUGCCGUCGCUCAACGGAUAAAAGUUACCCUGGGAUAACAGGCUGAUCUCCCCCAAGAGUUCACAUCGACGGGGAGGUUUGGCACCUGAUGUCGGCUCAUCACAUCCUGGGGCUGUAGCAGGUCCCAAGGGUUCGGCUGUUCGCCGAUUAAAGUGGUACGCGAGCUGGGUUCAGAACGUCGUGAGACAGUUCGGUCCCUAUCUAUCGUGGGCGCAGGAAAUUUGAGAGGCGCUGUCCCUAGUACGAGAGGACCGGGAUGGACAAACCUAUGGUGCACCAGUUGUCACGCCAGUGGCAUGGCUGGAUAGCUAAGUUUGGAUGGGAUAAACGCUGAAGGCAUCUAAGUGUGAAACCCACCUCAAGAUGAGAUUUCCCACAGCAAUGGUAAGGGCCCUGGAAGACUACCAGGUUGAUAGGCCGGGUGUGUAAGUGCAGCAAUGCAUUCAGCAGACCGGUACUAAUAGCCCGAGGACUUGAC